RNAcentral lists this long non-coding RNA (751 nucleotides) under Equus caballus (horse). Its description in RNAcentral is "lncRNA (ENSECAG00000055133.1)". Lineage: Eukaryota; Metazoa; Chordata; Mammalia; Perissodactyla; Equidae. The record is from RNAcentral.
ACAUUGCCUGCACCCCCCCCCCCGAUAAUCCAGGAUAAUCUUCCCAUUUCAGGACCCCUACCCUAGUGACACCUGCAAAGCCUUUUUUGUCAUAUAGAGCAGCAUAUUCACAGGUCCUGGGAUUGGGACAUGGACGUUGUUGGGGGGCCAUUAUGCGUUUAACACAGGGAGCAAGAGUGGCAAGGAGGGGACUGGCCGGGAGGCCACUGUGGUCACCUAGGCGAGAGACAGUAGCCGGGACCAAGGUGGGAGCAGUGGAGGUGGGAGCAGUGGAGGUGGGAGCAGUGGAGGUGGAGAGCAGUGGAGGUGGGAGCAGUGGAGGUGGAGAGCAGUGGAGGUGGAGAGCAGUGGAGGUGGGAGCAGUGGAGGUGGGAGCAGUGGAGGUGGAGAGCAGUGGAGGUGGGAGCAGUGGAGGUGGGAGCAGUGGAGGUGGAGAGCAGCGGGCGGGACAGAGAGGGAUUUACUGCUGUCCUGGCAGAGGAAAAAUGGGAGGGGGAGAAGUAUCCUGGCCCUUUCAGCUUUCGUCUGGAAGUGACACGUUCAUAUCGCUCCUACCCACACGUCACGUGACCACGAUAACUUGAAGGUGGGGGGAAAUGCAUCCACGGCGCGUGCCCCGCAGGAGGACGAUCGAGUGUGCGUGAACUGCCCCCAAGGCCGCCACGUCUGCGGUGGAGGCAGCGGAGCGAAGGGCCAUCGGGGGCGGCGUUCACCCAGCGGCUUCUCCUUCCCCUUCCCACAGCGGCUUUCU